AUUGAACGCUGGCGGCAGGCCUAACACAUGCAAGUCGAGCGGAUGAGUGGAGCUUGCUCCAUGAUUCAGCGGCGGACGGGUGAGUAAUGCCUAGGAAUCUGCCUGGUAGUGGGGGACAACGUUUCGAAAGGAACGCUAAUACCGCAUACGUCCUACGGGAGAAAGUGGGGGAUCUUCGGACCUCACGCUAUCAGAUGAGCCUAGGUCGGAUUAGCUAGUUGGUGAGGUAAAGGCUCACCAAGGCGACGAUCCGUAACUGGUCUGAGAGGAUGAUCAGUCACACUGGAACUGAGACACGGUCCAGACUCCUACGGGAGGCAGCAGUGGGGAAUAUUGGACAAUGGGCGAAAGCCUGAUCCAGCCAUGCCGCGUGUGUGAAGAAGGUCUUCGGAUUGUAAAGCACUUUAAGUUGGGAGGAAGGGCAGUAAGUUAAUACCUUGCUGUUUUGACGUUACCAACAGAAUAAGCACCGGCUAACUUCGUGCCAGCAGCCGCGGUAAUACGAAGGGUGCAAGCGUUAAUCGGAAUUACUGGGCGUAAAGCGCGCGUAGGUGGUUCGUUAAGUUGGAUGUGAAAGCCCCGGGCUCAACCUGGGAACUGCAUCCAAAACUGGCGAGCUAGAGUAUGGCAGAGGGUGGUGGAAUUCCCUGUGUAGCGGUGAAAUGCGUAGAUAUAGGAAGGAACACCAGUGGCGAAGGCGACCACCUGGGCUAAUACUGACACUGAGGUGCGAAAGCGUGGGGAGCAAACA
RNAcentral lists this ribosomal RNA (751 nucleotides) under uncultured Pseudomonas sp. RNAcentral describes it as "bacterial SSU rRNA". It matches the Rfam family "Bacterial small subunit ribosomal RNA", at positions 28 to 774 of the family's 1533-position model. The record is from RNAcentral. Lineage: Bacteria; Pseudomonadati; Pseudomonadota; Gammaproteobacteria; Pseudomonadales; Pseudomonadaceae.